GACGAACCGUGCGAACGUUGUUCGGAAUCACUGGGCUUAAAGGGCGCGUAGGCGGGCCCGCAAGUCAGGGGUGAAAGCCCACGGCUCAACCGUGGAAGGGCCUUUGAUACUGCGGAUCUCGAGGGGGGUAGGGGCGUGCGGAACUUCCGGUGGAGCGGUGAAAUGCGUAGAUAUCAAGUGGAACACCAGUGGCGAAGGCGAGUCCCUAGACAACUCCUGACACUGAGGCACGAAAGCUAGGGGAGCAAACAGG
Molecule: ribosomal RNA, 253 nt
Filed under: uncultured bacterium
Lineage: Bacteria
Description: partial 16S ribosomal RNA
Rfam family: Bacterial small subunit ribosomal RNA
Source: RNAcentral